CCUUCCCUUUCCUUAUUUAGGAUUAACUAUUUAAAGCACUUUUUAGGGUUUCAUUAGCAUCAGUUAUCAGAUUAUUAUCGAAACACAGUGUGUGUGUGUGUGUGUGUGAUUGACUAUUGAGACUUUAUUCAUUACUUUUCUCUCUAGCUUUCAAUUACACUUUUGGAUCAUAACUUUUAAGAAUAUUGUUACCAUUAUUUUGGGAUUUUUAGUUGGAAUAAAUUCAAGCAACACUUUUGAUUUUCAUAUUGCUGUAAGUAAACCUUCUCAAUUAUGGAUUCAACUUGUGAACAUGUUUGUUCUAGCAUGAGUGGCUAAACCCUUUAGCCCGAUUUAUGGGAUCUGUGGGUUAGGUUUUGACUUGAUGCUAGGUGUCUAAAAAUUCGAAAGGUGGUAGGAGUAUGUUGUAAUUCCUUUGUUUUACACUUAAUCAUCUAUUGGUUGCAAACAAUAGGUUUGCCUUAGGUUUAUUGCUCUAACCGAGAAAUAAAUUAGAGGAAGUGAAUUAUCAACAGAGUGUGGGAAGGCUAGCUCUCACUUAACGGUAACAGGAUUAAUCUACUUCAGAUAACAUCCGGUUAGCAAGUAUAAGUUAUCUAAGUUCGAGAGAAUUAGGUAAUAAAUUGUUGGGAUAGGUCGAGAGACAUUCAGAUAGAAUUUAGGCAAGGAUAAUCUGUUGCUUCUAUCCACCAAGAGAAUCUUGAACCGCAUCUAGUUUCUGUCAAAUACCAACACCCAUAGUGAACAUAACUCCGGCUUGUCCUCAAAUCUUAGUUACAACCAUUCCAAUUACUGUGAUAUCUACUUGUUUGUUAAAACUCCAAACCCCUAAUUCACAGGAAGCAAUAGACUACCAGUCAGUUAACUAGCAUACAAUUUAAUUUCACAAGUGUAUUCCUUGUGGGAUUCGACCCCAACCUAGUUGGGUUAUAUAUUGACGACAAUCGCUUGCAUUCUCAUACCAGAGGUGUAAUUUGAGCGUUAUCAUAACCCAAUUAGUUAUUUCUUUCCGAGACUACACAUUCCUUACCCUUAAGAGUACUCUCAUCUUCCAAGAAGAGAUGAAAUUGUCACACCAUAGUGAGGUAUAGCAUAUAAGCUAUAGCCUUCAAGACAAGCUAUACUCCCAACAUCAUUCUCACCGCUAGGUCCAUUAGGAGUGAUUAUACCAUCUUCAAAUAAGAAAUUUACCUAAAAUGAGAAUGAUCUAUCCUGGGGCAGAUUUGGCACAAGCAAGUUCACUCUCUAAAGGACAACCAUCAAGUUUCAAAAGGUUUCAAACACAUAAUCAUUCCGGUGAACAAAACAGUCCAUAGGAUCUUCUUUACCAAAUGUCAAGCUCACGGUUUCACUCCUAUUAUUCUGACCAACAUUUUCAAAUUACUCUCUCACUUGAGGUCUAUUAAUUACAACACACAUAACCUCAAGUGGUGGACUAGUUCCGCACACAAGUUGAUCAACACAAUUCCCAUAAGAUGAUGUACUAUCAUUCAACAUAAUGACUUCAACACUAGGUGGACACAAAUUAAUCUUACAAGAAGAGUAAAUUCGGUCAUCAAUAAGAUCAACUAGUGUAUCCACACUCAUAACAUAUACAACAUCAUCAAGAGGCAAAGAAUGAAUAGACGAUGUACUAUCAUUCAACACAAUGACUUCAAUACUAGGUGGACAUAAAUUGAUCUUACAAAGAGUGUAUUUGGUCAUCAAUAGGAUCAACUUGUGUAUCCUCACUCACAACAUGUACAUCAUCAACAAGAGGCAAAAAAUGAAUAAACUCACAAGUAGGUAAGCUACUAUUCACACUCAAUGGGCUACUGGCCACACAAACAGCAUUCGCAUACGCAAAAGUGUAAGAGUUAGCUAUUUUACCUUGAAGUUCUUGAGUAUAUUAUUCUUUACCUUGGUGUGAACGUUUCCCACAAGCUUCAGCAACAACUAAGAUUUCCCUAACCUUAAAAAGGAAUCUUCUCCUUCCUCCGCUUGCCAUGUGGUAUUGAUACAGGCACGACUAUGAAGAUUGAUGUGUGUGCAAGUGUGACACGAGGCCAUCCAAGGGAGUGCAAUGCUAAAGUGUGGGGAGGACCAAAAUGCAUACUAAAGAUGCUCCACUUUACACUAAAGAGAGUCAAGCAAAAUGGGAGAAAAGGGAUGGUACUUCUAUUGCAAAAGAGGGAGAAAAUACAGGAACAGUAUUAGACAAACAGGGUGACAGGUUCUGGAUUCUGGAAUAGGCUACUGGUAUUGAUAAGCCUAUUUAUAAUUCUACUGCUUGUCAUGAAUGUAUUGGCCUCAAGAAGUCAUUGGUUUACUAUUGAGGCAGUGCUGGAAAAGGCACAAAAACUGAUUGGAUGAUGCAUGAGUUUCGACUUCCUGCUGAAAAUGACAAAUCCACUAAACAUAGUCAAGCUAAAAGCAUUGCUCAAGAAGCUGUUUGACUUGUUAACUGCAGUAGAAUCUGAGAAUGAAUGUGAUGAUUGAAGUCUUUGACAGUCUAUUCCCUCUGCAGUUGCAAUGGCUGUAGCUAAAGUUGCAAGUGAUGUCAAGGCUAAAGGUUCUCUUUGUCAAGCCUCUAGUAUAUUGGACUCGGUUUUUCAUUAUUGCUACUGCAUUCUCUCGCCCACAGAUUGAUGCCAUUGGGACCAGAAUAAGAGAUAUGGCUGAGGAACAAUAUGGAAAAGUUGCUUCAGGAGAUUCAAAACCCAGCUCGUGGACGCUACUGGACUUUGGUGCUAGUAAGCCAUGAAAGUGUGUUAUUCUCCUUGCUGAUAUGCGCUCCAUGCCUCUCUUAAUCACUGGUGACAUUGUCGUUCAUAUAUUUCUUCCUCAGCAGCGCGAGUACUACUAUCUGGAAGAAUUCUAUCUAUAGCAAUGCAGCAUCCAUCGAAGUGCCAUUUGAGAACCAACAAAAAUUGCGAGGAUGUAGCGGUUAUUGAAGUCCCAACAUUUUGGCCUCGGGGUGAUUGACAGAAACUGUAGCAAUUUAAGAGUCAGUUAACUGCUGACAAUGAGAUGAUUAACUGUGUUGAUCCACCUGCUGUACCAUUUUUUAUUAGGAAGAAUAUAAUUCUUGUAGAAGAUGAAGCUCUGUACUUGAGUUUUUGCUCUGUAGAAAAUCUGGUAAAGAAACAGUUUACUUGCAUUCGUACUGAAUUAAACGAAUCCCUCAAUGGACUCAUUAUCUCA
This is an RNA transcript of Capsicum annuum, 3183 nucleotides long. It is a transcript of the gene named protein Iojap, chloroplastic, with no coding region annotated. The transcript is spliced from 5 exons. The record is from RefSeq and is a predicted model, not a curated record. Lineage: Eukaryota; Viridiplantae; Streptophyta; Magnoliopsida; Solanales; Solanaceae.